UGGGGAAUCUUGGACAAUGGGCGAAAGCCUGAUCCAGCCAUGCCGCGUGAGUGAUGAAGGCCUUAGGGUUGUAAUGCUCUUUUUGGCGGGGACGAUAAUGACGGUACCCGCAGAAUAAGCCCCGGCUAACUUCGUGCCAGCAGCCGCGGUAAUACGAAGGGGGCUAGCGUUGUUCGGAAUUACUGGGCGUAAAGCGCACGUAGGCGGAUCAGCAAGUCAGGGGUGAAAUCCCGGGGCUCAACCUCGGAACUGCCUCUGAUACUGCUAGUCUAGAGUCCGGAAGAGGUGGGUGGAAUUCCUAGUGUAGAGGUGAAAUUCGCAGAUAUUAGGAAGAACACCGGUGGCGAAGGCGGCCCACUGGUCCGGUACUGACGCUGAGGUGCGAAAGCGUGGGGAGCAAACAGGAUUAGAUACCCUUGUAGUCCCUGAGCGGGCUGGCAAGGCGCAU
RNAcentral lists this ribosomal RNA (448 nucleotides) under uncultured bacterium. RNAcentral's name for it is "bacterial SSU rRNA". It matches the Rfam family "Bacterial small subunit ribosomal RNA", at positions 355 to 825 of the family's 1533-position model. The record is from RNAcentral.